GCAUACGGAGGUUCCCAGGCUAGGGGUCAAAUUGGAGCUAUAGCUGCCAGCCUGUGCCACAGCCAGAGCAACGCCAGAUCCAAGCCACGUCUGUGACCUACACCACAGCUCACGGCAACACCGUAUCCUUAACCCAAUGAGCGAGGGCAGGGAUUUGAACCCAUAACCUCACGGUUCCUAGUCGGAUUCAUUUCUGCUGCACCACGAUGGGAACUCCUGAUUCUAAAGAAAUCAAAUCUUGGCAACUAUGAUAAAUGUGAUACAACCUGAGAUUCAAAAUUGAAAUUCAUUUAAUUAAAAAUUAAAAUCUUUUCAACAAGGUAUGAGCAAAAUUUUUGAAGACCAAUGGGCUAGACCAAAAUGACAAGUAAGUUCUCAGGCCCCAUUUAUGGAAUUUUCAAGCUGAGUUUAUAUGUAGGGAAGAUCUGGUAUUUCUAUUGGCACCUUACCUGGAGAAUGACUAACAAAGCGUCUGAUCUUGGUAACCUGUUCCUAAAAUCAUUAAAAUUUCAUAUUGAUUUAAAACAUUUAUCUGUAGAAAUGACUGGUGAAUAAAAAAGAACAUGUAGAAACACAAAGGUCUCCAGAAUCACAAGGGCAAUUCAGCCCUCUCUGAUAUAUGACUCACGACACUGAUCCAUUAACGGAAACUCCUGUUAUGAAACAGUGCUUAGUACAGCACUGGCACAGUGUGGACCCACAGCAAAUGCUUUUUUGAAUGAAUAAAGAAUCCUGGACUGUGGAUAAAAAAUUUGAUAAUUUUUUCCUCCAUCAUAAGACAUACACGCAGGAACUUAACGCAUGAGCGCGUGCGCAUACGCACACACAUAUCCUUGGGUAUAACUACAAAGACCCCAUCAGAAAUUUGACUUUCAUUUUCAACAUGUCAAAAAUUAUAUAUGUGUAUAUAUGUAUGUACACACACACACACACACACACAUACAUAUGACUUUUUCUUAUAUUCUAGGCAUAGGAAAAUUCUUCUUCGAAUAGAAUUAUUGUUUUAAUAAAACUUGUCUGCUUCAGAGAUCACAUUGCCUUUCCAAAUUCAGCUUCAGAAAAUACUGAAAGACUGAGAAUUACCAAAUUCUACUAUUUUGUUUACAUCUGGAAUGAAUAUUUAAGUUACGUGCUUAUUAAUGUGGUUACGCUACCCCUUAAUUCUCCAUAACUAUUUUUUUUCACUAGAUGUUGUUUUAAAAUACCAUAAGAAUUAAUUGACUUGUAUUAUACCAAACAUUUGUGUAAGACAGAGGCCUCGCUGUGUAACAAUUUAUUUUUCGGUAUUCCAAACAUUCCCACAUGGUUAACUCCAUCUGUAACUACCAUGAUGCUAAUGGGCUGCUUCUUCCUCAGCCUUUACUUACUAUCCAAAAUUAAUGUUUGUAAAUGAGUUUUAAAAAAAGAAACAGGAAACUAUGUAGGAUGCACAUAAAAGGAAAUUUCUUCCUCUUGUCUUCUUUUACAUACAAUGUGUGUACUGUCUGGUAUUCUGGAGUUCCAGGAACUCACUGGCUAGAUCCUUUUGCAAUUCAGCAGAAAGAUGAUAAUGAAGCUUAUCGUAAUAACCCUGAACUAUUAGGGUUGUUGAUUCAACAAAGAAAAAUUAUAUUUUGUUUGGUAUAGACUUAAUGUCAAAGGUAUUUACUUGAAUUCUAAUGUUUGGAAAUUUAAUUAUCUGCAAAAUAUGUACAGCUACUAUUAAUCAGGAGACUUGAUUAAACAGAACACUGAUUAUCUGAUGAAGAGAAUAAGGCAAAAGUAGGGAUAAUAAAAGACUCACAAAUGGAUUCUUUUCAUGUAUCUGUGAAUCCAAAGAGCUACAUCUUACGAGAGCGAGAGCACACACAGUGAUCAGUGACAUUCCUACAUACAUAUGUGUUUAUGUUUAUAACUGCAUCUAUCACUCUACUUACAUAAUAGAUGUAUGUUCUGGUUGCAGUCAUAUCUAUAUUUCUUAGGCAAUCAUCUAGGAUUCAUGUUCUGCCUUUGAAUACCAUUUAUUAUUUUUCUCCUUUCGCUGCUAUUGUUCCUCUGCCUGUCUCAAACUAGAAGCAGGUAGCGAGUUGGGGGGGUUGGGAAAGCAAGUCCUUGCCCCGGCUUUGUCAACAACUAGCUCUAUUACCUUCAUCAAGUGAGUUUAUGCUUACACUUCACACUUCUCAUCUAAAAGUGUGUCAGACUAUGGGAGUCUGGGGUUAAUAGAUGCAAACUAUUGCAUUUGGAGUGGUAAGCAAUGAGAGCCUGCUAUAUAGCACAGGGAAAUAUACCUAGUCACUCGUGAUGGAACAUAAUGGAGGAUAAUGUGAGAAAAAUGUAUGUGUGACUGGGCCACUUUGUUGUACAGGAGAAACUGACAGAACACAGUAAAUCACCAUAAUGGAAAAAAUAAAAAUCAUAAAAUAGGGUGUGAGACUAGAUCAUUGAGGGGUUUAAUUUUUUGAAAUGCAGUUGUAUCUUCAAAAAACUUUAUCUUAAAAAAAAAAAAAAAAAAACUUACACCAAACCCUGAAAUGGAAGGCAGGUAAUAGAAAAAUAGCUCUGGGUUCUAGACUAAGUCUAGAGCCCUGCCCUCUCAGCAGCACAUAGGAUACAUUUGUGAAGUCCUAAAAACAUGGUUUUAGAACAACCAGACUAGAUUUUUUUCCAAGUUUUCCAUCAUUCUUAAAUAUUGUGAUUUAGGAUAACAUGCAAAUCAGUUAUUAAAGACUUGAAAAGGAAAGUGGUUGAAGAAAUGAUGAAAGUUGAAUUUUACAUCCACUGUAGAUUUCUUUUAGUCAUACCUGACAAUACUUCUCAGAACACACAACUGAAAAUACUUGAUCUCCGUCACCACUAGUUCUGGACACAGUUGUGUAAUCAAAUGCUCUUUACUUAUGGGUUAAAAUAAUAUCAUGUCUAUGUAUUAUUGAAUAAUAUAUUCUAUUUUCUCAUUUAUUAAGUGAGGAAACUAGAUUAGAUGGCUUCCAAGGCCUUUUCAAAGACUAAUAUUCAAUGUUUCUGCAUCCAUAAUAAAGUUUGCCAGAUUUAAAUAUAGAUUAAUUGACCAAGAUAGUUUUCAUUUAAAUAAGUUUUAAGUAAAUCCGUAUUUAAAUAAAAUUCAACUACAGUGAAUUUUAGUAAGAACUUUCCUAUAGCCGAUGAUUCACACAAUCCUGUAUAUUUUCUUUCACCUCUACUCUUUCUUUCUUGAGUCUAUUUUACCACAUUAGAUUAACCAAACUUCAGUAAUUUCACUCAUCUCCACAUGCUAAACUGUCUUACCAUUGAUGAAACUUACCUCUUCUUGCAAGUACAUUCUUUUUAAAACGGUCUCAUUCUAAAAUCUUAGAGAAGCUUUCUAUACCAUCACUUCAGCUGAUUGUAAAAGCAUCCACAAAAGUAAUCCUUCCCAGUGAACAUGCUUCUUGAAAUACGACUUUGCUAUAAUUCUCAUCAAGAGGUUAGCAUCCAUCUUCUGACUCGAUUCUGGCCUGGUGUUAGGUCAUGCUUGUGUUUGUAGAAUGUAGCAGAUGUGAUGUUGUACCAGUUUCAAGCCUAGGCUUCUCAGAUGUCUUGUUUGUUUCUGCUCUCUCGGAACUCUGCCACCAACAUAUGAUCAAACCUGGACCAGCCUGAUGGAUAAUAAGACACACGCAGCCUAGUUACCUUCAUCUCCCCAACCUUCAUCUCUCCAGGCAGCCAGUUGACAUGAAUGAGGCCUUCCUAGACCAGGGAGGCCCCAGCCUACCUGCUAGCACAUUAUAGAGCAAGAAUAAGUCAAGCCAUGAUCAGCCAAUACUAUCCUCUUUACCUGAUUCAUGAGUAACUACGAAAGGCUAUCAUCUUAUGCUAACCAGUUUGGAGUGAUUUGUUAUGCAGAAACAUCUAAAACCCACUUCCACUGUCUAAUUUCCUAUACCAAACAACUUUGAGCUAAUAUAAAAAGAUUCUGCUGAUCUCUGCAUAGUCUUCAUAGUCUCCACUUCAUUGCCCCUCAGCUGUCUUCAAAAUGCUCUAUCCAUGUCAAUGAGAGAGGUAAAGAUUUGCCAAGAAAUACGUGGAACUAGAUAAUUUAAAGGGAAUCCUCUCCCACAUCCUCCAGGCCCAUGGGUGCCUCUUCCUCAAACUCACCUGCCCGAGAAUGCUGCUGUGAUCAAGGCAUCAUUCUGUUUUAUGUUUUUGUUUUUGUUUUUUUUUCUUUUCCCAUGUUUUCACAAGAUGCCAAUUCAAAAUAUUGGUUUUGGGAAAACAUUUUUAUGAGAUAGUUUUUUUCCAAAAUAUUUUAGGGGAUAUAUAUGCAAAGAUGUUUCAAAACCACCGCAUCAUUGCCAAGUGCACUUCCUAGCAUGCAAAUGGGACCACCUUUCUCUUUAGUUUAAUGUACUUCAACGGCCUCUCAUUAUUCAUAGGCUAAAAC
RNAcentral lists this long non-coding RNA (4399 nucleotides) under Sus scrofa (pig). Its description in RNAcentral is "lncRNA (ENSSSCG00000058451.1)". Lineage: Eukaryota; Metazoa; Chordata; Mammalia; Artiodactyla; Suidae. The record is from RNAcentral.